CGGGACACGUGGUAUCCUGUCUGAAUAUGGGGGGACCAUCCUCCAAGGCUAAAUACUCCUGACUGACCGAUAGUGAACCAGUACCGUGAGGGAAAGGCGAAAAGAACCCCGGCGAGGGGAGUGAAAAAGAACCUGAAACCGUGUACGUACAAGCAGUGGGAGCACGCUUAGGCGUGUGACUGCGUACCUUUUGUAUAAUGGGUCAGCGACUUAUAUUCUGUAGCAAGGUUAACCGAAUAGGGGAGCCGAAGGGAAACCGAGUCUUAACUGGGCGUUAAGUUGCAGGGUAUAGACCCGAAACCCGGUGAUCUAGCCAUGGGCAGGUUGAAGGUUGGGUAACACUAACUGGAGGACCGAACCGACUAAUGUUGAAAAAUUAGCGGAUGACUUGUGGCUGGGGGUGAAAGGCCAAUCAAACCGGGAGAUAGCUGGUUCUCCCCGAAAGCUAUUUAGGUAGCGCCUCGUGAAUUCAUCUCCGGGGGUAGAGCACUGUUUCGGCAAGGGGGUCAUCCCGACUUACCAACCCGAUGCAAACUACGAAUACCGGAGAAUGUUAUCACGGGAGACACACGGCGGGUGCUAACGUCCGUCGUGAAGAGGGAAACAACCCAGACCGCCAGCUAAGGUCCCAAAGUCAUGGUUAAGUGGGAAACGAUGUGGGAAGGCCCAGACAGCCAGGAUGUUGGCUUAGAAGCAGCCAUCAUUUAAAGAAAGCGUAAUAGCUCACUGGUCGAGUCGGCCUGCGCGGAAGAUGUAACGGGGCUAAACCAUGCACCGAAGCUGCGGCAGCGACGCUGAUGCGUUGUUGGGUAGGGGAGCGUUCUGUAAGCCUGCGAA
RNAcentral lists this ribosomal RNA (837 nucleotides) under Escherichia coli. RNAcentral describes it as "partial 23S ribosomal RNA". It matches the Rfam family "Bacterial large subunit ribosomal RNA", at positions 418 to 1254 of the family's 2925-position model. Lineage: Bacteria; Pseudomonadati; Pseudomonadota; Gammaproteobacteria; Enterobacterales; Enterobacteriaceae. The record is from RNAcentral.